RNAcentral lists this ribosomal RNA (468 nucleotides) under uncultured bacterium. RNAcentral's name for it is "partial 16S ribosomal RNA". It matches the Rfam family "Bacterial small subunit ribosomal RNA", at positions 28 to 507 of the family's 1533-position model. The record is from RNAcentral.
GACGAACGCUGGCGGCGUGCUUAACACAUGCAAGUCGAACGGAAAGGCCCUGCUUUUGUGGGGUGCUCGAGUGGCGAACGGGUGAGUAACACGUGAGUAACCUGCCCUUGACUUUGGGAUAACUUCAGGAAACUGGGGCUAAUACCGGAUAGGAGCUCCUGCUGCAUGGGGGGGGUGGGAAAGUUUCGGCGGUUGGGGAUGGACUCGCGGCUUAUCAGCUUGUUGGUGGGGUAGUGGCUUACCAAGGCUUUGACGGGUAGCCGGCCUGGGAGGGUGACCGGCCACAUUGGGCCUGGGGUAGCGCCCAUACUCCUACGGGAGGCAGCAGUGGGGGACAUUGCACAAUGGGCGGAAUCCUGAUGCAGCAACGCCGCGUGCGGGAUGACUGCCUUCGGGUUGUAAACCGCUUUCGCCUGUGACGAAGCGUGAGUGACGGUAAUGGGUCAAGAAGCACCGGCUAACUACGUG